RNAcentral lists this ribosomal RNA (2269 nucleotides) under Scina borealis. Its description in RNAcentral is "partial 18S ribosomal RNA". It matches the Rfam family "Eukaryotic small subunit ribosomal RNA". The record is from RNAcentral. Lineage: Eukaryota; Metazoa; Arthropoda; Malacostraca; Amphipoda; Scinidae.
UCCAGCCGGGUGUCUUCGGACACCUAGCGAAACCGCGGACGGCUCAUUAAAUCAGUUGUGGUCUAAAUGGGCGAGACAGUUUCCUCUGUAGGAUAACUGUGGUAAUUCCAGAGCUAAUACAUGCGACUUUAAAUCACUAGCCUAGCGAUAGGCGACUGAUGCUUUUAUUAGACCGAGGUGAACGGCCGUACGUGUGUCCGCCACUUGUGGUUUGGCGCGUGCGGUUCGCGAUGCUUAAGGUGACUCUGGAUAAAACCUAUGUUAAGCGCACGCAUCGCUAUCGUAGCGGGCGGCGCUGCCACUUUCGAGUGACUGCCUUAUCAGCUAUAACGUUUGUUAUGCGCAAACGCUGGCUCUGACGGGUAACGGGGAAUCAGGGCUCGAUUCCGGAGAGGCAGCCUGAGAGACGGCUACCACGUCCAAGGACGGCAGCAGGCACGCAAAUUACCCAAUCCCAGCACCUGGGGGAGGUAGUGACGAAACAUACCGAUGCGGGCAUCUCUUCGGAGUGCCCGCAAUCAGAAUGGCUAUUUCCUAAAUACCCUAACGAGAACCUACUAAAGGGCAAGUCUGGUGCCAGCAGCCGCGGUAAUUCCAGCUUUAGUGGCGUACACUAAAUUUGUUGAGGUUAAAAGGCUCGCAGUUGAAUGUCUGUUAAAGAGCGUAGAUGGGUCUAGACGUUGGGCUCCUCUAAAGGCCUUGGUUUCUUUAACGAGUUUCCUCGUGUUCCGCGGAGGUUGUUUUCCCGUCUUAUCAGUACCCUCUCGCUCGAUGACAUACGGGCGCUUUCUCGCGAAAUUGGGCUAGUUCUCUAGUCUUUUCGAGCGGGGUUGCGUGUUCGUGUCACCUUGAGUAAAUCAGAGUGCUUAACGCAGUCGCAACGAAGGGUUUUCGAGUGAUCGGGAACCCGAGGCUUGGGACGAAUGCGUUGUGCGGUUCGCCCGUGCAGCGUGCUAGUCCCUGUGACGGUCUUUGCUUUGCAUGGUACGUCGGAAGACGCCGCUUUUACUCGUUGGUCUAUCGCGAAUUCAAUUCGUAUCACGCCAGCGAGUGCGGAAUGAUGUGAUAGGAACGGUCGAGGGCAUUGGUAUUGCGAGGCGAGAGGUGAAAUUCUAUGACCCCCGCAAGACCUCCUGAAGCGAAGGCGUCUGCCAAGGACGUUUUCAUUAAUCAUGAACGAAAGUUAGAGGAUCGAAGGCGAUCAGAUACCGCCCUAGUUUUAACCGUAAACGAUAUUAACCAUCGAUCCGCGUGAGCACCCUCGUUACGUGCGUGUGAUUAGCCUAAUAAGCGGCACGUACGUGACAGUGUGGGCUCGGCGGGCAGCUCCCCCGGGAGGAAACUUUUAAGUUAGAUUCCUGGGGGAGUCUGGUUGCAAAGCUGAAACUUAAAGGAAUUGACGGAAAGGCACCACCAGGCGUGGAGCUUGCGGCUCAAUUUGACUCAACACGGGCAAACUUACCAGGCCAGCACGGUCGUACGAUUGACAGAUUGAAAGCUCUUUCUCGAUUGAGUGGAUGGUGGUGCAUGGCCGUUCUUAGUUGGUGGAGUGAUCUGUCUGGUUAAUUCCGAUAACGAACGAGACUCUCCCCUGCUAACCGGCGCUUUUAAACGCAGUAGACGGCGUGAUUUCAAGGUAAGAAGCUCUCGUGUUGCGCGCUCUGCGUGUUUAUGCGGGAUGUCUUCGGACGAGUCCGCUGAUCUCCUUGGCUCCGUUUUCGUGCCGCUUUCGUCCGUCGUGUUCGCGGGAGAUUUCUUGUUGCGCGGCGUUUGGGCUUGCUCUUGCGUCGUGUGCUGGGGGUUUCUACGUUGUUUCGCGUGUUCGUUGGCGUAGUGCGACUAGCGUCCUCGGAGAGCGUAUCUUCUUAGAGGUAUUGACGACUCUUCAAAGUCGUAAGAGACAGAGAGCAAUAACAGGUCUGUGAUGCCCUUAGAUGUUCUGGGCCGCACGCGAGCUACAAUGCCGGGUACAGCGGGUACUUUAUCCUAUACCGAGAGGUACGGGUAACCCUGUGAAAACCUAGUUAGAUUUCCGUAAGGAUUUCGCGUGGCUCGCUUGGGCCUGGGGCUUGCAAUUCUUUCCCACAAACGAGGAAUGCCUAGUAGUGGCGGAUCACUGAGCCCGCAGCGACUUAGUCCCUGCCCUUUGUACACACCGCCCGUCGCUACUACCGAUUGAGUGUACCAGUGAGAUCCUCGGACUGGCGAACCCAAGCGCCUUCGCGGGCGUUAGGGCGAACGCUGGAAAGAGGCCCGAACUGGUGCACUA